RNAcentral lists this ribosomal RNA (252 nucleotides) under uncultured bacterium. Its description in RNAcentral is "partial 16S ribosomal RNA". It matches the Rfam family "Bacterial small subunit ribosomal RNA", at positions 524 to 776 of the family's 1533-position model. The record is from RNAcentral.
UACGUAGGUCCCGAGCGUUGUCCGGAUUUAUUGGGCGUAAAGCGAGCGCAGGUGGUUUAUUAAGUCUGGUGUAAAAGGCAGUGGCUCAACCAUUGUAUGCAUUGGAAACUGGAAGUCUAGAGUGCAGGAGAGGAGAAUGGAAUUCCUAGUGUAGCGGUGAAAUGCGUAGAGAUUAGGAAGAACACCAGUGGCGAAGGCGAUUCUCUGGACUGUAACUGACGCUGAGGCUCGAAAGCGUGGGGAGCAAACAGG